GUGGAUGUGGCGCGUAGCGCGUUUCGUUGCCAACGAGAAGGCCGCGGGUUCGAUCCCCGCCAUCCGCACCA
The sequence is a transfer RNA, 71 nucleotides long. It matches the Rfam family "tRNA". Rfam says of the family: Transfer RNA (tRNA) molecules are approximately 80 nucleotides in length.